Molecule: long non-coding RNA, 254 nt
Filed under: Jatropha curcas
Lineage: Eukaryota; Viridiplantae; Streptophyta; Magnoliopsida; Malpighiales; Euphorbiaceae
Description: long non-coding RNA (JCUR_LNC001295)
Source: RNAcentral
UUCUUGAGCUGACUGUAAUCAUCUCCUUGAACCGUUAUAAUCUUACCUUCGUAGGGGAAUUUGACCUUUUGGUGCAAAGAGGAAGGUACUGCUUUGGUGUGGUGUAUCCAUGGCCGCCCUAACAGCAGGUUGAAACUGGUGGGCACAUCAAUGACUUGGAACGGUACCUCCAUUAUGGCCGGCCCAAUUACUAAUUUUAGUGUAACAACCUCCAAUACUUCUCUCCGGGUGCUGUCAUAUGCUUUCACUAUCUG